CGGUGGAUGAUGUGGAUUAAUUCGAUGCAACGCGAAAACCUUACCUACCCUUGACAUGUCCGGAAUCCCGAAGAGAUUUGGGAGUGCUCGCAAGAGAGCCGGAACACAGGUGCUGCAUGGCUGUCGUCAGCUCGUGUCGUGAGAUGUUGGGUUAAGUCCCGCAACGAGCGCAACCCUUGUCAUUAGUUGCCAUCAUUUGGUUGGGCACUCUAAUGAGACUGCCGGUGACAAACCGGAGGAAGGUGGGGAUGACGUCAAGUCCUCAUGGCCCUUAUGGGUAGGGCUUCACACGUCAUACAAUGGCCGGUACAGAGGGUAGCCAACCCGCGAGGGGGAGCCAAUCCCACAAAGCCGGUCGUAGUCCGGAUCGCAGUCUGCAACUCGACUGCGUGAAGUCGGAAUCGCUAGUAAUCGCGGAUCAGCAUGUCGCGGUGAAUACGUUCCCGGGUCUU
This 452-nucleotide ribosomal RNA is filed under the name uncultured Rhodocyclaceae bacterium. RNAcentral describes it as "bacterial SSU rRNA". It matches the Rfam family "Bacterial small subunit ribosomal RNA", at positions 930 to 1382 of the family's 1533-position model. Lineage: Bacteria; Pseudomonadati; Pseudomonadota; Betaproteobacteria; Rhodocyclales; Rhodocyclaceae. The record is from RNAcentral.